This 477-nucleotide ribosomal RNA is filed under the name bacterium NE2010. Its description in RNAcentral is "bacterial SSU rRNA". It matches the Rfam family "Bacterial small subunit ribosomal RNA", at positions 28 to 477 of the family's 1533-position model. The record is from RNAcentral.
GACGAACGCUGGCGGCGUGCUUAACACAUACAAGUGGAAAGAGAUGAUUCAAAGCUUGCUUAGAAGAGUCGAGUGGCAAACGGGUGAGUAACGCGUAGACAACCUGCCGCAAAGAUGGGGACAACAGUCCGAAAGGACUGCUAAUACCGAAUGUUGUCAGUUUUUCGCAUGGGAGACUGAUUAAAGAUGGCCUCUACUUGUAAGCUAUCGCUUUGCGAUGGGUCUGCGUCUGAUUAGCUAGUUGGUGGGGUAACGGCCUACCAAGGCGACGAUCAGUAGCCGGUCUGAGAGGAUGAACGGCCACAUUGGAACUGAGACACGGUCCAGACUCCUACGGGAGGCAGCAGUGGGGAAUCUUCCGCAAUGGGCGAAAGCCUGACGGAGCAACGCCGCGUGAGUGAAGAAGGGUUUCGGCUCGUAAAGCUCUGUUGACGGGGACGAACGUGCGAGAAUGCGAAUAGUUCUGCAAUGACGGAC